RNAcentral lists this ribosomal RNA (492 nucleotides) under Termitomyces mammiformis. RNAcentral's name for it is "eukaryotic LSU rRNA". It matches the Rfam family "Eukaryotic large subunit ribosomal RNA", at positions 72 to 569 of the family's 3401-position model. Lineage: Eukaryota; Fungi; Basidiomycota; Agaricomycetes; Agaricales; Lyophyllaceae. The record is from RNAcentral.
GGAUUCCCCUAGUAACUGCGAGUGAAGCGGGAAAAGCUCAAAUUUAAAAUCUGGUAGUCUUUGGCUGCCCGAGUUGUAAUCUAGAGAAGCAUUAUCCGCGCUGGACCGUGUACAAGUGUCCUGGAAUGGACUAUCAUAGAGGGUGAGAAUCCCGUCUUUGACACGGACUCCCAGGGCUUUGUGAUGUGCUCUCAAAGAGUCGAGUUGUUUGGGAAUGCAGCUCUAAAUGGGUGGUAAAUUCCAUCUAAAGCUAAAUAUUGGCGAGAGACCGAUAGCGAACAAGUACCGUGAGGGAAAGAUGAAAAGAACUUUGGAAAGAGAGUUAAACAGUACGUGAAAUUGCUGAAAGGGAAACGCUUGAAGUCAGUCGCGUUGGCUGGGGAUCAACCUUGGCUUGGCUUACUUCCCAGUUGACGGGUCAGCAUCAGUUUUGACCGGUGGAUAAAGGCUAGGGGAAUGUGGCACCYUCGGGUGUGUUAUAGCCCUUGGUCA